Lycium barbarum (goji berry) is the source of this 1659-nucleotide RNA transcript. It is a transcript of the gene named transcription factor TCP4-like, with no coding region annotated. The transcript is spliced from 4 exons. The record is from RefSeq and is a predicted model, not a curated record. NCBI's taxonomy places the organism in Eukaryota, Viridiplantae, Streptophyta, Magnoliopsida, Solanales, Solanaceae.
AGUCCUCGAAAACCCGUUGUUCCAUUCAUUUUAUGUUCAUCCUUAUUACUACCUUUUUUUCGUCUAAUUUCCUUCACUCCUCUUAAAAAAAAAACAAAAAAACAAACCCUAGCUAUAGAUAAAUCCUAAACACGGUAGUACUAUCAAUAUUGCAAUAUUAACAUUCCACAAAGAGCAAUUUUUUCAACUUCAAUUAGGUUUUCUUUUAUUGUUUUUGUCUUUUGAAAUUUGGGUUUUGGACAAAGAGGUUUCAUUGUGCCUAUGGGAUUUGUAGCGUAUCUUGUCAGUGUUCCUCGGGAUCAGCAUCAUCAGAAAUCAGCUGAGCAGUUGUAAUACUACUGCAGCACUAGCAGCACCAAAAAGACUAUGCAGAGAGAUUUAUAUUUAUGAUGAAGAGAGCAACGGGAGGAGGAGAGAUAGUGCAAGUUGAAGGCGGUCAUAUUCUCCGGUCCACUGGCCGAAAAGACCGCCACAGCAAAGUUUAUACUGCAAAAGGCCCGAGGGAUCGAAGGGUCCGUUUAUCUGCUCACACUGCUAUUCAAUUUUACGACGUGCAGGACAGGUUGGGUUAUGACCGGCCUAGUAAGGCGGUUGAUUGGCUCAUCAAAAAGGCGAAAGAUGCUAUUGACAAGUUAGAUGAGUUGCCUCCUUGGAACCCCACUAAUCAUGAUCCAAGUACUACUGAAGCUGAUACUGCGGCGUUAGAACAACAGCCGGAGUAUCAGCUUCAGAGGGAAUUAGAAAAGAGUAACCCGAGUCAGGUUAAUUCUUCUAAUUCGUACAUGAUGCAAGCGCCUACAAGUGGUGAAGCACAACAAUCACUUGGGGAUACUAUGAAAUCUUUUUUCCCUAUGAAUUCGGGGACUUCAUUAAUGAAUUUCCAAAACUACCCACAUGAGAUAAUGCCAAGAUCUUCGAUACAAAACGAAGAUCUUGGCUUAUCUCUUCACACUACUUUUCAUAAGGCUUCUUCAAGUCAUGAUGACCAAUCUGCCCUUUUCUCAAAUCAAAAUUUUGAAGCAAAUUAUCCAAGAAUAGCUGGUUGGAAUAUAUUGCCACAUCAUCAGCAGCAAGCAUUUUUCACUCAAAGUAGUGCUGCAUUUCCUCAAAGGGAACCCCUUCAGUCCAAUUUUUCACACUUGAUUAAUCAUCAUGCUAGUUGGGAAGAGAGGCCAUUAAUGAAUGGACUAGUUCAUCAGGCUGAACUUUCAAAUAAUAGCAGACAUUUCACUACACAUUUUCAAGUUCCAGCUAGGAUCCAUGGUGAACAUCAUGAGGACCCUUCCUCUGCUUCUCCCAACUCUCACCAUUGAUUAAUGGUUUAUUAAAAGGUACUGGAUUCAAAUAUACUCCCGGCCACCUAAAUAGUUGCAUCUGCCCUUGCUGAUACCAUGUUAAAGUCAAUUGAGUAAGUAGUCAUCUCCGAAGAUCAAAAGUGCAUUAUUUGAUAGAACGCUGGAACAUGGUCAGAGUAAUUUCAAAAAUGUAACUGUAUUUCUUAUCUUAAAUUUUGUGGAAUUUGUCUAUUAAGUUACGGUGCUGAAGCGUUGUUUGGAUUGCAUAUGUUCCACAUAUUUUGUUUGAAUUGGUUGAGUGAUAUUAUUGGAUACUUAAAAUUCUGCUAGUUGACUCAGUUCUUGAGCUCCAACUAGAUUAAUA